CUUCGAUCAGGUGCCGCCAAAACGUCCACAACGUAGUGGGCUUUGAAACUAAUCGAUUCAUUUCGGGUUCUAAGUUGGGUUUUAUUGAGUUCUUGCGGUGAAGGAACUGUUGGUGUGUUCUUGCGAGCUAUCCAGUCAAGUUACUCUAAGAGAUGGAUGAGGUGCCUCUGGAGCAGGCUUUGGAGGAAGAUGAAGC
This is a long non-coding RNA of Vigna angularis (adzuki bean), 196 nucleotides long. RefSeq lists it as uncharacterized. The transcript is spliced from 3 exons. NCBI's taxonomy places the organism in Eukaryota, Viridiplantae, Streptophyta, Magnoliopsida, Fabales, Fabaceae. The record is from RefSeq and is a predicted model, not a curated record.